RNA transcript from Nerophis lumbriciformis (worm pipefish), 4143 nucleotides. It is a transcript of the gene named solute carrier family 12 member 5b, with no coding region annotated. The record is from RefSeq and is a predicted model, not a curated record. NCBI's taxonomy places the organism in Eukaryota, Metazoa, Chordata, Actinopteri, Syngnathiformes, Syngnathidae.
GAGGACGGGAGGGAGGAAGAGAGAUAAUACCUUCUGAAUACAUGAUGAAUGUAUUGGUUGGGCUUAAACUGACUUGGGGGCGAGCGGUGCACAGACACAGGGGGAGUGCAUGUGUCAUCAAGCUGGCCAUCGCCAAUUCUCCCUUACUGCCACCUGAAGUCUGUCAAUUGUUCUCCUGAAGAGCAUCGCACAAAUAACAGAGGAUACAUAGCCUUUCUCUAAUACUAAGAGGUGUGAGUUUGAGGAGGCGAGAGGAUGCUCAACAACAUGACAACAGACUGCGAGGAGGAAGAGGGGAGCCCCAACAAUCAGGGUGAUAGGAACCCUAAAGAGAGCAGCCCUUUCAUCAACAGUACUGCCACCAGUGAUGUGGAGAAGAGUCAGCAGUAUGACGGCAAGAAUAUGGCUCUGUUUGAAGAGGAGAUGGACACCAGUCCAAUGGUGUCCUCCUUGCUCAGCAGUCUAGCCAACUACUCCAACUUGCCAACAGGCAGCAAAGAGCAUGAGGAGGCUGAGAAUAACGAGGAGGGUGCACGUCCAUCUAAAAAACCUAUCCAGGCACCACAACUUGGAACUCUGAUGGGUGUUUACUUGCCAUGUAUUCAAAAUAUUUUUGGUGUGAUCCUCUUCCUGCGAAUGACCUGGAUGGUUGGCAUUGGAGGCGUGCUCGGUUCCUUCAUAAUUGUCUUCAUGUGUUGCUCCACAACCAUGCUCACAGCUAUUUCUAUGAGUGCCAUCGCAACAAACGGAGUAGUUCCGGCUGGAGGUUCCUACUACAUGAUCUCUCGCUCUCUUGGGCCUGAGUUUGGUGGCGCUGUUGGGAUUUGCUUUUACUUGGGCACCACUUUUGCUGGUGCCAUGUACAUCCUGGGGUGCAUUGAAAUCCUGCUGAUUUAUAUUGUUCCUCAGGCAGCCAUCUUCAAGAUCGAGGGCUUGGAAGGGCUGGAGGCAGAGGUCGCCCUUCUAAAUAAUAUGCGGGUGUACGGCACCAUUGUUCUGAGCUUCAUGGCUCUGGUGGUGUUUGUUGGGGUGAAAUAUGUCAACAAGCUGGCACUGGUCUUUCUCGCCUGUGUCAUCCUCUCCAUUCUAGCUGUCUAUGCGGGAGUCAUUAAAACCGCUAUUGACUCACCUGUCUUCCCGGUUUGCCUCUUGGGAAAUCGCACUCUUGUCUCCAAAGGCUAUGACGUCUGCGCAAAGGUCGUUGAAAUAGACAACGACACAGUAACCACCAAACUAUGGCGCUCGUUCUGUGAUUCUGAGUACCUCAACGCGACCUGUGAUGAAUACUUCAUCAACAACGAUGUCACUGAGAUACAGGGCAUUCCUGGGGUUACGAGUGGGAUCCUGGCAGAAAACCUGUUUGGCAAUUAUCUGGAAAAGGGGGUAAUUGUGGAGAAGAGAGGACUUGCAUCACAAGUAGAUCCAGACACUUCUGCUACCAGCACCAACCGAUUUGUGCUUGCUGACAUUACCAGCUUCUUCACACUGCUAGUGGGGAUAUACUUCCCAUCCGUCACAGGUAUCAUGGCAGGUUCAAACCGAUCUGGAGACCUGCGUGAUGCUCAGAAGUCCAUCCCUAUUGGCACCAUUGCAGCCAUCACCACCACAUCUAUUGUGUAUAUGUCCUGUGUGGUGCUUUUUGGUGCCUGUAUAGAGGGUGUUGUAUUAAGAGACAAGUUUGGUGAAGGUGUCAAUGGUAAUUUGGUGAUUGGGACCCUGGCAUGGCCCUCUCCAUGGGUCAUUGUAGUUGGCUCAUUCUUUUCCACCUGUGGAGCAGGACUUCAAAGUCUGACUGGAGCUCCACGUCUCCUACAAGCUAUUUCUAGGGAUGGAAUCAUACCAUUUCUUCGAGUGUUUGGACAUGGUAAAGCCAAUGGAGAGCCUACCUGGGCCCUUCUGCUCACGGCUGGAAUUUGUGAAAUUGGCAUCAUUAUCGCCUCUUUGGAUGCAGUGGCACCAAUCCUUUCCAUGUUCUUCUUGAUGUGCUAUAUGUUUGUUAACCUUGCCUGUGCUUUGCAAACUUUACUGAGGACACCAAACUGGAGGCCUCGCUUUAAGUUCUACCAUUGGGCUCUAUCAUUCCUGGGUAUGAGUUUGUGCCUCUCACUUAUGUUCAUCUGUUCCUGGUAUUAUGCCAUUGUUGCCAUGGGAAUCGCCACAUGCAUCUAUAAGUACAUUGAAUUCUGUGGAGCUGAGAAGGAGUGGGGUGAUGGAAUACGCGGCAUCUCUCUCAGCGCGGCUCGAUUUGCCCUCAUGAGGAUAGAGGAGGGGCCACCACACACAAAGAACUGGAGGCCUCAGAUUCUGGUUCUGGUCAGUAUGGAUGGGGAGCAGAACGUAGAACAGCCUCGUCUGCUUUCUCUAACCAAUCAGAUGAAAGCAGGGAAGGGCCUUACCAUUGUUGGCACCUCCGUUCAAGGAAAGUUUCUGGACAAUUACACCGAAGCCCAAAGAGCAGACCAGUCUUUGAGAAAAUUGAUGGAGACAGAGAAGGUUAAGGGAUUCUCCCAAGUGGUCAUAUCCUCCAAUUUGAGAGACGGGACAUCCCACUUGAUCCAGGUUGGAGGACUGGGAGGUUUGAAACACAACACUGUGAUGGUCAGCUGGCCACGUAACUGGAAACAGCCUGAGUACCACCAACAGUUUAGAGACUUUAUUGAAGUUGUAAGAGAGACUACAGUGGCCAGUUUGGCUCUGUUGGUUCCUAAGAACAUCUCUAGCUAUCCAUCCAAUGGAGAGCGCUUCACAGAAGGACACAUAGAUGUGUGGUGGGUUGUCCACGAUGGAGGCAUGCUGAUGCUACUGCCCUUCCUGCUGCGUCAGCAUAAGGUGUGGAGGAAAUGCAAGAUGCGCAUUUUUACUGUGGCUCAGAUGGACGACAAUAGUAUCCAAAUGAAAAAGGAUGUCAUUACGUUCCUUUAUCACCUGCGCAUUGAUGCCGAGGUGGAAGUGGUGGAGAUGUAUGACAGUGACAUAUCAGCCUACACCUAUGAAAAGACACUAGUAAUGGAACAGCGCUCACAGAUUCUCAAGCAAAUGCAUUUGACCAAGAAUGAGAUGGAGCGAGAGAUCCAGAGCAUAACAGAUUCCUCCCGCGGGUCCAUCCGGCGUAAAAAAACCUCUGCUCCACGCUCCCAGCCCAGUAUCGAGGAAGGAGGCAGAAUGACUGAACAACCAGAAGAAGAGGUCCAGCUUAUUCACAGUAAGAACGCCUCCUCACCUGCUAGCCCCACCAGCCUCACAGCCCCUGCAGGGGGCGGAGCCACCUGGACAGACAGCAAGGGAGCAGACAAGGGGAAGAACAUGGAUGGAGGAAAAGACCUCUUCAGCAUGAAGCCGUUUACUUCAAAGACAAAUGCAGCUUCCUGUGUGAGCACAGCAUUUAUGCAAUUUACACGCAAUUAUUUCCCUUGUCACAUGCUGCUGCAGGGAGUGGGAAAACUUGAACCAGAUAGAUGUGAGGCGCAUGCACACUGCCUUGCGGCUCAAUGAGGUCAUCACAAAGAAGUCCAAGGAGGCGAAGCUUGUCCUGCUCAACAUGCCAGGUCCCCCAAAAAAUCGUGUGGGAGAAGAAAACUACAUGGAGUUCCUUGAGGUGCUCACAGAGGGCCUCAAUCGGGUUCUCCUGGUCCGGGGAGGUGGUCGUGAGGUCAUUACCAUCUACUCCUGAACGUCCUGAAAUCUGAUGUUUUACUGUGAGGUUCUUCCUAGCUGCAAAACCACUUUUAAACUUCCUUUCAACUGUUCCAGUUAUGUUAUGGUUUUUUUUGUCUUUUUCUGAUACAUGUUGCUGAUUCUACCCAAUAUUUAUUCAUCUUUUGUGUUGUUUGUUUUAUGUCUUUAAUGGUUUUUAUCAAAACACGCUUAUUAGCUGAAUGAUGAUGGUGCAGUGAACGUGGUGUCAUGUUAGAUGAAAGUGUAUUGUUUAUUGAGUUUGUCAAUUAUAAAUACUACAUUCCUAACCUCAUAGAGUGGUGAAUAAUCAUACACACACAAAAUUGCUGGGUUAUAUUUCUACCCAAAUGCUGGAUUCAGCCUUUUGGGUCAUAUUUAUGGGUUAUUUCUAAAGAGUUGGGUAGUUUUUUGACCCAACCAGUAACCCAGCUGGUCGUUUUUUUGUUUUGACACACCCAUUAAAUAUAU